Molecule: ribosomal RNA, 254 nt
Filed under: uncultured bacterium
Lineage: Bacteria
Description: partial 16S ribosomal RNA
Rfam family: Bacterial small subunit ribosomal RNA
Source: RNAcentral
UACGUAGGGUGCGAGCGUUGUCCGGAAUUAUUGGGCGUAAAGAGCUCGUAGGCGGUGUGUCACGUCGGCCGUGAAAACCUGGGGCUUAACUCUGGGCGUGCGGUCGAUACGGGCAUCACUAGAGUUCGGCAGGGGAGACUGGAAUUCCUGGUGUAGCAGUGAAAUGCGUAGAUAUCAGGAGGAACACCGAUGGCGAAGGCAGGUCUCUGGGCUGACACUGACGCUCAUGCACGAAAGCGUGGGGAGCAAACAGG